RNAcentral lists this ribosomal RNA (253 nucleotides) under uncultured bacterium. RNAcentral's name for it is "partial 16S ribosomal RNA". It matches the Rfam family "Bacterial small subunit ribosomal RNA", at positions 524 to 776 of the family's 1533-position model. The record is from RNAcentral.
UACAGAGGGUGCAAGCGUUGCUCGGAAUCAUUGGGCGUAAAGGGUAGGUAGGUGGUCUCAUUUGUCUGGGGUGAAAUCCUUGAGCUUAACUUGGGAAUUGCAUUCGAUACUGGUUAGCUAGAGUGUGGGAGAGGAUGGUAGAAUUCCAGGUGUAGCGGUGAAAUGCGUAGAGAUCUGGAGGAAUACCGAUGGCGAAGGCAGCCAUCUGGCCUAACACUGACGCUGAGGUGCGAAAGCAUGGGGAGCAAACAGG